This 433-nucleotide ribosomal RNA is filed under the name uncultured bacterium. RNAcentral describes it as "partial 16S ribosomal RNA". It matches the Rfam family "Bacterial small subunit ribosomal RNA", at positions 29 to 507 of the family's 1533-position model. The record is from RNAcentral.
AACGAACGCUGGCGGCAUGCCUAACACAUGCAAGUCGAACGAGACCUUCGGGUCUAGUGGCGCACGGGUGCGUAACGCGUGGGAACCUGCCCUUAGGUUCGGAAUAACUCCCCGAAAGGGGUGCUAAUACCGGAUAAUAUCUUCGGACCAAAGAUUUAUCGCCUUUGGAUGGGCCCGCGUUGGAUUAGCUAGUUGGUAGGGUAAAAGCCUACCAAGGCGACGAUCCAUAGCUGGUUUGAGAAGAUGAUCAGCCACACUGGGACUGAGACACGGCCCAGACUCCUACGGGAGGCAGCAGUGGGGAAUGUUGGACAAUGGGCGAAAGCCUGAUCCAGCAAUGCCGCGUGAGUGAUGAAGGCCUUAGGGUUGUAAAGCUCUUUUACCCGGGAUGAUAAUGACAGUACCGGGAGAAUAAGCUCCGGCUAACUCCGUG